GGUAAACGCUGGCGGCGUGCCUAAAACAUGCAAGUCGAACGCACAUCUUUCGGGGUGUGAGUGGCAGACGGCUGAGUAACGCGUGGGUGACGUACCUGACAGUGGGGAAUAACUGCCCGAAAGGGUGGCUAAAUACCGCAUACGCUCAUUUGAUGCAUUUUUGAUGAGGAAAGUCUCGUGAGAGGCGCUGAUGGAGCGGCCCGCGUCCGAUUAGCUAGUUGGGGGGUAACGGCCUACCAAGGCGACGAUCGUAGCUGGUCUCAGAGGAUGAUCAGCCAGACUGGGACUGAGACACGGCCCAGACUCCUACGGAGGCAGCAGUUAGGAAUUUUGGUCGAAU
RNAcentral lists this ribosomal RNA (340 nucleotides) under uncultured bacterium. RNAcentral's name for it is "bacterial SSU rRNA". It matches the Rfam family "Bacterial small subunit ribosomal RNA", at positions 28 to 373 of the family's 1533-position model. The record is from RNAcentral.